CAAUAGCGUAUAUUUAAGUUGUUGCAGUUAAAAAGCUCGUAGUUGGAUUUCGGGUGGGACGCAGCGGUCUCGCAUUGCGUUUGUACUGCUGCAGCCCUCCUUCUUGCCGGGGGCGGCCUCUCGGACUUCACUGUCUGGGGGUCAGAAUCGGCGAUGUUACUUUGAGUAAAUUAGAGUGUUCAAAGCAAGCUUACGCUCUGAAUAUAAUAGCAAGGGAUAACACGACAGGACUCUGGCCUAUCGUGUUGGUCUAUAGGACCAGAGUAAUGAUUAAGAGGGACAGUCGGGGGCAUUCGUAUUCCGUUGUCAGAGGUGAAAUUCUUGGAUUUACGGAAGACGAACAUCUGCGAAAGCAUUUGCCAAGGAUGUUUUCAUUGA
Molecule: ribosomal RNA, 378 nt
Filed under: uncultured eukaryote
Lineage: Eukaryota
Description: partial 18S ribosomal RNA
Rfam family: Eukaryotic small subunit ribosomal RNA
Source: RNAcentral